RNAcentral lists this ribosomal RNA (2902 nucleotides) under Klebsiella pneumoniae. RNAcentral's name for it is "23S ribosomal RNA". It matches the Rfam family "Bacterial large subunit ribosomal RNA". Lineage: Bacteria; Pseudomonadati; Pseudomonadota; Gammaproteobacteria; Enterobacterales; Enterobacteriaceae. The record is from RNAcentral.
GGUUAAGCGACUAAGCGUACACGGUGGAUGCCCUGGCAGUCAGAGGCGAUGAAGGACGUGCUAAUCUGCGAAAAGCGUCGGUAAGGUGAUAUGAACCGUUAUAACCGGCGAUGUCCGAAUGGGGAAACCCAGUGCAAUUCGUUGCACUAUCGUUAACUGAAUACAUAGGUUAACGAGGCGAACCGGGGGAACUGAAACAUCUAAGUACCCCGAGGAAAAGAAAUCAACCGAGAUUCCCCCAGUAGCGGCGAGCGAACGGGGAGCAGCCCAGAGUCUGAAUCAGCUUGUGUGUUAGUGGAACGGUCUGGAAAGUCCGACGGUACAGGGUGAUAGUCCCGUACACCAAAAUGCACAGGCUGUGAACUCGAAGAGUAGGGCGGGACACGUGGUAUCCUGUCUGAAUAUGGGGGGACCAUCCUCCAAGGCUAAAUACUCCUGACUGACCGAUAGUGAACCAGUACCGUGAGGGAAAGGCGAAAAGAACCCCGGCGAGGGGAGUGAAAAAGAACCUGAAACCGUGUACGUACAAGCAGUGGGAGCACCUUCGGGUGUGACUGCGUACCUUUUGUAUAAUGGGUCAGCGACUUAUAUUCUGUAGCAAGGUUAACCGUAUAGGGGAGCCGCAGGGAAACCGAGUCUUAACUGGGCGUUAAGUUGCAGGGUAUAGACCCGAAACCCGGUGAUCUAGCCAUGGGCAGGUUGAAGGUUGGGUAACACUAACUGGAGGACCGAACCGACUAAUGUUGAAAAAUUAGCGGAUGACUUGUGGCUGGGGGUGAAAGGCCAAUCAAACCGGGAGAUAGCUGGUUCUCCCCGAAAGCUAUUUAGGUAGCGCCUCGUGAAUUCAUCUUCGGGGGUAGAGCACUGUUUCGGCUAGGGGGUCAUCCCGACUUACCAACCCGAUGCAAACUACGAAUACCGAAGAAUGUUAUCACGGGAGACACACGGCGGGUGCUAACGUCCGUCGUGAAGAGGGAAACAACCCAGACCGCCAGCUAAGGUCCCAAAGUCAUGGUUAAGUGGGAAACGAUGUGGGAAGGCACAGACAGCCAGGAUGUUGGCUUAGAAGCAGCCAUCAUUUAAAGAAAGCGUAAUAGCUCACUGGUCGAGUCGGCCUGCGCGGAAGAUGUAACGGGGCUAAACCAUGCACCGAAGCUGCGGCAGCGACACUAUGUGUUGUUGGGUAGGGGAGCGUUCUGUAAGCCUGCGAAGGUGUGCUGUGAGGCAUGCUGGAGGUAUCAGAAGUGCGAAUGCUGACAUAAGUAACGAUAAAGCGGGUGAAAAGCCCGCUCGCCGGAAGACCAAGGGUUCCUGUCCAACGUUAAUCGGGGCAGGGUGAGUCGACCCCUAAGGCGAGGCCGAAAGGCGUAGUCGAUGGGAAACAGGUUAAUAUUCCUGUACUUGGUGUUACUGCGAAGGGGGGACGGAGAAGGCUAUGUUAGCCGGGCGACGGUUGUCCCGGUUUAAGCAUGUAGGCUGAUUGUCCAGGCAAAUCCGGAUAAUCAAGGCUGAGGUGUGAUGACGAGGCACUACGGUGCUGAAGUAACAAAUGCCCUGCUUCCAGGAAAAGCCUCUAAGCAUCAGGUAACAUUAAAUCGUACCCCAAACCGACACAGGUGGUCAGGUAGAGAAUACCAAGGCGCUUGAGAGAACUCGGGUGAAGGAACUAGGCAAAAUGGUGCCGUAACUUCGGGAGAAGGCACGCUGGUGUGUAGGUGAAGUCCCUGCGGAUGGAGCUGAGACCAGUCGAAGAUACCAGCUGGCUGCAACUGUUUAUUAAAAACACAGCACUGUGCAAACACGAAAGUGGACGUAUACGGUGUGACGCCUGCCCGGUGCCGGAAGGUUAAUUGAUGGGGUUAUCCGUAAGGAGAAGCUCUUGAUCGAAGCCCCGGUAAACGGCGGCCGUAACUAUAACGGUCCUAAGGUAGCGAAAUUCCUUGUCGGGUAAGUUCCGACCUGCACGAAUGGCGUAAUGAUGGCCAGGCUGUCUCCACCCGAGACUCAGUGAAAUUGAACUCGCUGUGAAGAUGCAGUGUACCCGCGGCAAGACGGAAAGACCCCGUGAACCUUUACUAUAGCUUGACACUGAACAUUGAGCCUUGAUGUGUAGGAUAGGUGGGAGGCUUUGAAGCGUGGACGCCAGUCUGCGUGGAGCCAACCUUGAAAUACCACCCUUUAAUGUUUGAUGUUCUAACGUUGGCCCCUUACCGGGGUUGCGGACAGUGUCUGGUGGGUAGUUUGACUGGGGCGGUCUCCUCCCAAAGCGUAACGGAGGAGCACGAAGGUUAGCUAAUCCUGGUCGGACAUCAGGAGGUUAGUGCAAUGGCAUAAGCUAGCUUGACUGCGAGCGUGACGGCGCGAGCAGGUGCGAAAGCAGGUCAUAGUGAUCCGGUGGUUCUGAAUGGAAGGGCCAUCGCUCAACGGAUAAAAGGUACUCCGGGGAUAACAGGCUGAUACCGCCCAAGAGUUCAUAUCGACGGCGGUGUUUGGCACCUCGAUGUCGGCUCAUCACAUCCUGGGGCUGAAGUAGGUCCCAAGGGUAUGGCUGUUCGCCAUUUAAAGUGGUACGCGAGCUGGGUUUAGAACGUCGUGAGACAGUUCGGUCCCUAUCUGCCGUGGGCGCUGGAGAAUUGAGGGGGGCUGCUCCUAGUACGAGAGGACCGGAGUGGACGCAUCACUGGUGUUCGGGUUGUCAUGCCAAUGGCACUGCCCGGUAGCUAAAUGCGGAAGAGAUAAGUGCUGAAAGCAUCUAAGCACGAAACUUGCCCCGAGAUGAGUUCUCCCUGAGACUUUAAGUCUCCUGAAGGAACGUUAAAGACGAUGACGUUGAUAGGCCGGGUGUGUAAGCGCAGCGAUGCGUUGAGCUAACCGGUACUAAUGAACCGUGAGGCUUAACCUU